RNAcentral lists this ribosomal RNA (253 nucleotides) under uncultured bacterium. Its description in RNAcentral is "partial 16S ribosomal RNA". It matches the Rfam family "Bacterial small subunit ribosomal RNA", at positions 524 to 776 of the family's 1533-position model. The record is from RNAcentral.
UACGUAGGGUGCAAGCGUUGUCCGGAAUUAUUGGGCGUAAAGAGCUCGUAGGCGGUCUGUCGCGUCUGCUGUGAAAACUCAGGGCUUAACCCUGAGCUUGCAGUGGGUACGGGCAGACUAGAGUGCGGUAGGGGAGACUGGAAUUCCUGGUGUAGCGGUGAAAUGCGCAGAUAUCAGGAGGAACACCCAUAGCGAAGGCAGCUUGCUGGGACGUUACUGACGCUAAGGCGCGAAAGCGUGGGGAGCGAACAGG